AUCCCAUGAUGAGGACACUUCCUAAGCAAAUCCUUAAACCUUUCCCAAGCCUUAAACAUAGUUUCAUCUUCAGUUUGCCUAAAAAAGGUUACGCCAUUCCUCUUCUU
Molecule: non-coding RNA, 107 nt
Organism: Cicer arietinum (chickpea)
Lineage: Eukaryota; Viridiplantae; Streptophyta; Magnoliopsida; Fabales; Fabaceae
Source: Rfam